CAAUCUGGCUAUAAUAUGUUACCUCAUUGAUUGCCAGUGGUGAUUCAGCUGAUCUGUCUGGCUAGGCAGGUAUCUCCUUCCU
This 82-nucleotide small nuclear RNA is filed under the name Dipodomys ordii (Ord's kangaroo rat). RNAcentral describes it as "7SK RNA". It matches the Rfam family "7SK RNA", at positions 12 to 95 of the family's 331-position model. From Rfam's summary of the family: 7SK was discovered as an abundant small nuclear RNA in the mid-70s but a possible function has only recently been suggested. The record is from Rfam by way of RNAcentral. Lineage: Eukaryota; Metazoa; Chordata; Mammalia; Rodentia; Heteromyidae.